RNAcentral lists this long non-coding RNA (2038 nucleotides) under Triticum aestivum (bread wheat). RNAcentral describes it as "long non-coding RNA (TAES_LNC006403)". Lineage: Eukaryota; Viridiplantae; Streptophyta; Magnoliopsida; Poales; Poaceae. The record is from RNAcentral.
UUUUUCAGAAUCCUCUAUUAUUUUAGUUCUUCCACCCAUGCAAUAGAGAGGGAAUGGGAAAAGAAGGGUUACUUUUAUUUGCAUUUUUUCCUUAAAAGAUAGACUUUGAAAUAGGAGUCUUGGAAUAAUGCUGAAUUCAAAGGUUUAUUUCUUUCUAUAGUAUAAGAAAAACAAUUUAUUUCUAUUUCUAUAGUAUAAGAAAAACAAAUAGUAUAAGAAAAACAAAUCGAAUCAAAUUCAUGGAUUUACCACGACCUCGGUUGUGACUGUGACUCCAUAGAUAAAAAUGGAAAAUUUCUCUCUUCGAGACCAUUGGAAAAGGGCAUUGAACGAGAAAGAAAUCAUCCACAGAUAAUAAAACUAUCAUAUGCCUUGGAAAGUGAUAUGAGGUGCUCGGAAAUGGUUGAAGUAAUUGAAUAGGAGGAUCACUAUGACUAUAGCCCUUGGUAGAAUUCCUAAAGAAGAAAAUGAUCUAUUUGAUACUAUGGAUGACUGGUUACGAAGGGACCGUUUCAUUUUUGUAGGAUGGUCUGGCCUAUUGCUCUUUCCUUGUGCUUAUUUCGCUUUAGGGGGUUGGUUUACAUGGACAACUUUUAUAACUUCUUGGUAUACCCAUGGAUUGGCUAGUUCCUAUUUGGAAGGUUGUAAUUUCUUAACCGCAUCAGUUUCUACCCCUGCCAAUAGUUUAGCACACUCUUUGUUGCUACUAUGGGGGCCCGAAGCACAAGGAGAUUUUACUCGUUGGUGUCAAUUAGGCGGUCUAUGGACUUUUGUAGCUCUCCAUGGGGAUUUUGCACUAAUAGGUUUCAUGUUAUGCCAAUUUGAACUUGCUCGGUCUGUUCAAUUGCGGCCUUAUAAUGAAAUCUCAUUCUCUGGUCCAAUUGCUGUUUUUGUUUCUGUAUUCCUUAUUUAUCCAUUGGGGCAAUCUGGUUGGUUCUUUGCGCCGAGUUUUGGCGUAGCAGCGAUAUUUCGAUUCAUCCUUUUCUUCCAAGGAUUUCAUAAUUGGACGUUGAACCCAUUUCAUAUGAUGGGAGUUGCCGGAGUAUUAGGUGCGGCUCUGCUAUGCGCUAUUCAUGGAGCGACCGUAGAAAACACUCUAUUUGAGGACGGUGAUGGUGCAAAUACCUUCUGUCGUGGAAUUGUCACGGCAGAUGUCCUAGUGUAAGGACUUAGUCACGAGGCCAACGCAUCUAUGUGGUAGCUUGAAGGGGUUGAGCGGAAUCAAGAGAUGCAACACACAAGACGAGGAUUUAGACAGCUUCGGGCCCCGGGAAACAUCAUCCGGUAAUAACCCUACGUGCUGUUUGUGGCUAGGUCUCAUUAUGAUCAUGAGGGAGUCGCCGUAAGCCGGCUCUCCUCUUUGUGUCUAGCCCUAGAUAUUGUUUCUUGUUCCUUGUCCCUCUUUGGGGAGCCCUGCCCCUCCUUAUAUAAGUUGAAGGGGCGGCUUACAUGUAGAAUCCUAUUAGGAUUAGAACUAACUUAUUCUCUAUUACAAGUCGGAUACAAGUACGGGUCUUGCUUCCUCAUAAAGGAAAUAUUCCUCAUGCCUUCUGUCUUAAGCCGGCCCACCAUAAUAUGAGCCGGCCUACUGGGCCUUGGGCCUAGUCUUCUAUGUGACACGCCGUCGGGGUCAUCUGUGAGUCGUCUGACCAGUGAGCCGCCAGACCCGUGAGUCGCCAGUCCUCCGGCGGGUCAUCGGUGAAGCACCAAGUCCGGCCGGGUCAUACUUCCGGCCUGGUCAUACCGCGGGGUACAUCCCCGACACCUUCCGUGCUUUUAACCCAACUCAAGCUGAAGAAACUUAUUCAAUGGUCACUGCUAACCGCUUUCGGUCCCAAAUCUUUGGUGUUGCUUUUUUCCAAUAAACGUUGGUUACAUUUCUUUAUGCUAUUUGUACUUAUCACCGGUUUAUGGAUGAGUGCUAUUGGCGUAGUUGGCUUGCUCUGAACUUACGUGCCUAUGACUUUGUUUCCCAGGAAAUCCGUGCAGCGGAAGAUCCUGAAUUUGAGACUUUCUACACCAAAAAUAUUCUUUUAAA